CACGUAGGGCGCGAGCGUUGUCCGGAAUUAUUGGGCGUAAAGAGCUCGUAGGCGGCCUGUUGCGUCCGCUGUGAAAGCCCCGGGGCUUAACCCCGGGUCGGCAGUGGAUACGGGCAGGCUAGAGGUAGGUAGGGGAGAAUGGAAUUCCCCGGUGUAGCGGUGAAAUGCGCAGAUAUCAGGAGGAACACCAAUAGCGAAGGCAGCUCGCUGGGACGGUACUGACGCUGAGACGCGAAAGCGUGGGGAGCAAACAGG
RNAcentral lists this ribosomal RNA (255 nucleotides) under uncultured bacterium. RNAcentral's name for it is "partial 16S ribosomal RNA". It matches the Rfam family "Bacterial small subunit ribosomal RNA", at positions 524 to 776 of the family's 1533-position model. The record is from RNAcentral.